GACGAACGCUGGCGGCGUGCUUAACACAUGCAAGUCGAACGGAAAGGCCCUGCUUUUGUGGGGUGCUCGAGUGGCGAACGGGUGAGUAACACGUGAGUAACCUGCCCUUGACUUUGGGAUAACUUCAGGAAACUGGGGCUAAUACCGGAUAGGAGCUCCUGCUGCAUGGUGGGGGUUGGAAAGUUUCGGCGGUUGGGGAUGGACUCGCGGCUUAUCAGCUUGUUGGUGGGGUAGUGGCUUACCAAGGCUUUGACGGGUAGCCGGCCUGGGAGGGUGACCGGGCACAUGGGGGCUGAGGGACGGACCAGAGUCCUACGUGAGGCAGCAGUGGGGAAUAUUGCACAAUAGGAGGAAGCCUGAGGCAGCAACGCCGCGUGCGGGAUGACGGCCUUCGGGGUGUAAAACGCUUUCGCCUGUGACGAAGCGUGAGUGACGGUAAUGGGUAAAGAAGCACCGGCUAACUACGUG
Molecule: ribosomal RNA, 468 nt
Filed under: uncultured bacterium
Lineage: Bacteria
Description: partial 16S ribosomal RNA
Rfam family: Bacterial small subunit ribosomal RNA
Source: RNAcentral